Molecule: non-coding RNA, 71 nt
Organism: Trematosphaeria pertusa
Lineage: Eukaryota; Fungi; Ascomycota; Dothideomycetes; Pleosporales; Trematosphaeriaceae
Source: the annotation of a RefSeq genome assembly
GGUUGUAUGGUGUAGUGGCAGCACAUGAGAUUCUGAUUCUCAUGACCCCGGUUCGAUCCCGGGUACGACCU